RNAcentral lists this ribosomal RNA (832 nucleotides) under uncultured Bacteroidota bacterium. RNAcentral describes it as "bacterial SSU rRNA". It matches the Rfam family "Bacterial small subunit ribosomal RNA", at positions 60 to 900 of the family's 1533-position model. The record is from RNAcentral. Lineage: Bacteria; Pseudomonadati; Bacteroidota.
AGUCGAGGGGUAUGGCAGCAAUGCCAGAGACCGGCGCACGGGUGCGUAACGCGUAUGCAAUCUGCCUUUCACAGAGGGAUAGCCCAGAGAAAUUUGGAUUAAUACCUCAUAGCAUAAUGAGUUGGCAUCAACACAUUAUUAAAGUCACAACGGUGAAAGAUGAGCAUGCGUCCCAUUAGCUAGUUGGUAAGGUAACGGCUUACCAAGGCGACGAUGGGUAGGGGUCCUGAGAGGGAGAUCCCCCACACUGGUACUGAGACACGGACCAGACUCCUACGGGAGGCAGCAGUGAGGAAUAUUGGUCAAUGGGCGCAAGCCUGAACCAGCCAUGCCGCGUGCAGGAUGACGGUCCUAUGGAUUGUAAACUGCUUUUGUACGGGAAGAAACAGCGAUUCGUGAAUCGCCUUGACGGUACCGUAAGAAUAAGGAUCGGCUAACUCCGUGCCAGCAGCCGCGGUAAUACGGAGGAUCCAAGCGUUAUCCGGAAUCAUUGGGUUUAAAGGGUCCGUAGGCGGUUUUGUAAGUCAGUGGUGAAAGCCCAUCGCUCAACGGUGGAACGGCCAUUGAUACUGCAAGACUUGAAUUAUUAGGAAGUAACUAGAAUAUGUAGUGUAGCGGUGAAAUGCUUAGAGAUUACAUGGAAUACCAAUUGCGAAGGCAGGUUACUACUAAUGGAUUGACGCUGAUGGACGAAAGCGUGGGUAGCGAACAGGAUUAGAUACCCUGGUAGUCCACGCCGUANACGAUGGAUACUAGCUGUUGGGAGCGAUCUCAGUGGCUAAGCGAAAGUGAUAAGUAUCCCACCUGGGGAGUACGUUCGCAAGAAUGAAAC